Molecule: ribosomal RNA, 477 nt
Filed under: Peribacillus simplex
Lineage: Bacteria; Bacillati; Bacillota; Bacilli; Caryophanales; Bacillaceae
Description: bacterial SSU rRNA
Rfam family: Bacterial small subunit ribosomal RNA
Source: RNAcentral
UGAGAUUAGCGGCGGACGGGUGAGUAACACGUGGGCAACCUGCCUAUAAGACUGGGAUAACUUCGGGAAACCGGAGCUAAUACCGGAUACGUUCUUUUCUCGCAUGAGAGAAGAUGGAAAGACGGUUUACGCUGUCACUUAUAGAUGGGCCCGCGGCGCAUUAGCUAGUUGGUGAGGUAAUGGCUCACCAAGGCGACGAUGCGUAGCCGACCUGAGAGGGUGAUCGGCCACACUGGGACUGAGACACGGCCCAGACUCCUACGGGAGGCAGCAGUAGGGAAUCUUCCGCAAUGGACGAAAGUCUGACGGAGCAACGCCGCGUGAACGAAGAAGGCCUUCGGGUCGUAAAGUUCUGUUGUUAGGGAAGAACAAGUACCAGAGUAACUGCUGGUACCUUGACGGUACCUAACCAGAAAGCCACGGCUAACUACGUGCCAGCAGCCGCGGUAAUACGUAGGUGGCAAGCGUUGUCCGGAA